Molecule: RNA transcript, 3498 nt
Organism: Vespa velutina
Lineage: Eukaryota; Metazoa; Arthropoda; Insecta; Hymenoptera; Vespidae
Gene name: rabphilin-1-like
Exons: 10
Source: RefSeq, a predicted model, not a curated record
ACAAUGUAGUCUUAUUAUAUAUAUGGGAAACAUCCACUUGUAAGCUGAUUAAGGCUGACUGAUAGUGCGCUUAGACCAACGUUUUAUUCUUUCCCUUCUCUCUUACUCUUUCCAUUUCCCCUCACUCUUUCUAGAAUUCACGACUUCUCUUUCCCUUCAUUCUCACCCUCAGUGCGCUCUUAUAUCGCAGUGGUGUGUACAAUGAUGAACUGUACGGAGGGAUAAAGCGAUUCUGCUCUUAGCUUUUCAACAAAUAAGUUCAAGGUUACGAUCGGUUCUCUUUUUUUUUCUCGUAGACACACAUACGCAUAACAGGCCUUUCUUUCUUGUUUAUUUUACUCUUAUGGUAGUUUCUCAAGUUGUGAAUACGAAAAGGAAAUUCAUACUGUCUCUUAUUUUUCCGCAAAGGAGGCAAUUUCUAGGAGAGUCAAAUGAUCAACGCUUAAAUUUUCGGAUGCUUAGAAAGGAUAGUAUGAUGCGCCUCUGCUUCUUAUCUUGUACGUCGAUCGCUCGAUGGAACAAGCCUAUCCCAUGACGUAUAUACGGUGUUUUUGAAGUGGGAUAAAGCUUGUAAACAGUUAUGGAUACAACCAUGGGAGAACCACAGAGUACAGGAGCACGUUGGGUUUGUCCAAAUGAUCGGCAUUUAGCAUUAAGAGCUAAAUUGCGAACAGGCUGGUCAGUGAAAACCGGAUAUUUAGACUCAGGAUGGGACAAUUAUUCCAAUGUUGGUAGUGCCAACCGUACAGAGCAAUCUUUCGUAUUAACAGAAGAAGAACGACGUACAAUCAUACAAGUGAUUCAAAGAGCGGAGGCGUUGGACUUAUCGGAGCAGAAACGCAUUGGCAGGCUGGUUGAGAGAUUGGAGGACAUGAAGCGCAACGUUCGCAUAAUCACUUCCAGCCGAUCGGACGAGCGAAAAAAUUGCGGUAGCCGAUGUUCCAACGGCUCGCACUGCGUCUGCUCCUGUGCUUUAUGUGGCGAAAAGUUUGGUGCUGUGUUAGGAGCUACACCAACCUUUUGCAAAGACUGUAGGAAAUAUGUUUGCCAAAAAUGUGGCAGAGAGGCUGGUACGUCGAAUGUACUAGCUUCUACUACCACUACAGAAGUUCUAUCCUCGACUACAUGCAACUCGCUCACAAAUGAAUCGAUACCAAAGAGGACCGCAAUGCAACGAAUCGUACAGAGGACCUCGAACAAUUCGCAAAAGAUUUUUCUUUGUCGCAUUUGUGCCGAGAGCAGGGAAAUUUGGAAAAAAAGUGGAGCUUGGUUCUUCAAAGGAAUGCCGAAACAUGAUCUUCCGAAGAAAAAAGAACGUGAUUGGUCUCGGGUGGGUCAAAGGACGCUAGGCCAAUCGUCUUGUAAAAUCAUCAGUGUUUGUAAAUCAUUGGAAUCGAACGAAGCUCAGGACUCCUCAUCGGACGAGGAGGCAACAAAACGUUUGAUUGGUGCACGUAGCUGCUAUUCCUCUUCUCCGAGCUUGCAGGGUAUCCAAGACAUCAACGGUAUAUCCAAACAACAGAUCAUGUCUUAUGAUGCUCAAACGCCAAAUGGAUUUUUUAAAAUUAAAAGUCGAUCAAAUGGCUAUUCGUCACCUACAGGCCAUCGAGAUGAGAGUUCUUCCACGACGACAACGAAUAGGUUGGACAAAUUUUCAAUACAUUCACAGUACAGUCGUCUCUCAUCAGCGGCAACCUUACGAACCUCUCGUACGAACGAAAAAAGUACAUGUGAUCAACGUGGCGGCAGUUCCCUCGAUGAUAAUGCGUCGACUGAGGAAAUAAGAUUAGAAGAUAACGGUGACGAGCAGUCUGAUUUCAUCGACGAUUCUCUCGGUUCUAGUGAUCAGUGUAAGAGUUCUCAGGUACAAUCAGUCAGGUACACGAAACUCACUGUCGACUUCGCCACCAAGCACUCUGAUGGAAAGGAUUUUAGAGGAGGCUUGGAUGCACGAAAAAAAUGCGGAAUACGAGGCGAAUUGCGCCAAUCAGAUGAACGAUGCGCCUAUCAGCACGUGGUACGUGCAUCACUCGUCGAGGCAACAAACAUCGGAUUAUCUCGAAAUGAUGAGAUCCAAAACGGAGGAAGGUUUUGGAACUCUGGAAAUCUCCUUGCUAUACGACCCAGUGGCUCAGUGCCUCCAGUGCAAAGUGGAACGAGCGUUGGGAUUAAAGCCAAUGGACAUCCACGAUCUCGCCGAUCCAUUUUGCAAAAUCACCAUACUGCCAGUGGGAAUGGGUACAAAUAUCAAGCCCAUAAGAACGAAAACUGUUCACAAGACACGAGAUCCUGUGUUCAACGAGACAGUGAACUUCUACGUAUCGAGAGAUGCCGAUAUGAAGAGUGGCAGAGCCUUACAUGUCAUGAUACUUCAAGACGAUCCGUGGGGAGAAGACUUUCUAGGGGAGGCGAGAUUUCCCCUGUACGAACUAGAACCGUUCCAGACGAAGCAUUACAAAAUCAAUCUGCAAAAUCAUUAUCCGGUGAAUCGCGAAGAAGAGGCUUGGGGUCUUCAUCGAGGCAAUCGAGGUCAAGUACAACUCACUCUAAGUUACUGUACCCGUCGACGUGCCCUGCUAGUUAUUAUUCAUCAAGCUAUGAAUCUUUUGCCCAUGGACAACAACGGGUUUUCUGACCCUUUUCUAAAACUGUGCCUUGUAGAGAAUGUGAUCGACAAUCGAUGGCAACGAGGUCACGAUCCUCUCGGGCGCAACAGCGCGAAGAAACAAUCCAGCAAGAAGUUAAUCACAGGUCGCAGCUCGUACAGCACGAGCGUCAAGUGGAAAACUCUCAACCCAGAGUGGAACGAAGAGUUCAUUUUUGGGAUUCGAUUAACAGACCUCAUGAAAGUCACGUUAUGCCUCUCUAUGUGGGACAAGGAUUUCGGCAAGCGUAAUGAUUAUCUAGGAGGGCUUGUAUUAGGAUGCAAUAGUAAAGGAGCACGAUUGCGACAUUGGGUAGAUGUUAUCAAAUUUCCCGAUUAUCAGCAUCCUGCUUGGCACAAUUUAACGGAAGUUCUUAUGCCAAUAGAGUAAUAUUUUUCAAUGGCAUAAAUAUAUGAAAUAUGUAGAAAAGUCGGAAAUACUGAUCUCAAUGUUGACAUGUUAAAGAGGCAAUAUAAGGCUAAAGUUACAUCAAUAGAUAUUGCCUAAGGAACUAAUGUCUAUACUGCACAUUAUUACUCAUAUUAAAAUAUGAAAAUAAGUAUAAGAAGGAUAAUUAUAGUCAGUUUAAUUUGUUACUUUCACUUUUUUCUAAUUUCAAGCAUAAUAUUAAAUUAUUAUAUAUAUGUAAAUUAUUAUGUAUUUAUACAAAUAUGUAUAUAAUUUGUUUAACUUAUCAUAUUACAAAAAAUGUGAAAUAAUAGCAAAAUUCAUUUUUUAUAUUAAUUAUGUAUUAUGCAUAUAUUAAUUAUAUUAAUUAUGUAUUAGUCGCUUUCAGAAGAAUAUUCUUCUGCUUCUUGUAACCAUUUGAUAAAAGGUUGUACUGCGAUUUUUA